AACUAACGCUGGCGGCGUGCCUAACACAUGCAAGUCGUACGAGAAAGCCGGCUUCGGCUGGUGAGUAAAGUGGCGCACGGGUGAGUAACGCGUGGAUAAUCUGCCCUUAAGUGUGGAAUAACGUACCGAAAGGUGCGCUAAUACCGCAUAAUGCCUGGCAACACAAGUUGUCCGGCCAAAGAAGGCCUCUGUUUACAAGCUUUCGCUUCAGGAUGAGUCCGCGUACCAUUAGCUUGUUGGUGGGGUAAUGGCCUACCAAGGCUACGAUGGAUAGGGGUUCUGAGAGGAAGGUCCCCCACACUGGAACCGAGACACGGUCCAGACUCCUACGGGAGGCAGCAGUGAGGAAUAUUGGUCAAUGGGCGCGAGCCUGAACCAGCCACGUCGCGUGAAGGAUGACGGCCUUAUGGGUUGUAAACUUCUUUUACAGGGGAAUAAAGUGAGUCACGUGUGAUUUUUGCAUGUACCCUGUGAAUAAGCAUCGGCUAACUCCGUGCCAGCAGCCGAC
This 508-nucleotide ribosomal RNA is filed under the name uncultured bacterium. RNAcentral's name for it is "bacterial SSU rRNA". It matches the Rfam family "Bacterial small subunit ribosomal RNA", at positions 29 to 518 of the family's 1533-position model. The record is from RNAcentral.